GUGUGCAUAAUUUAGAUAAAAUAUUAGAUUGUGGUUCUAAAAACGAGGGUUAAACCCCCCCUUCACACC
Molecule: transfer RNA, 69 nt
Filed under: Lyciasalamandra atifi
Lineage: Eukaryota; Metazoa; Chordata; Amphibia; Caudata; Salamandridae
Description: tRNA-His
Rfam family: tRNA
About the family: Transfer RNA (tRNA) molecules are approximately 80 nucleotides in length. Their secondary structure includes four short double-helical elements and three loops (D, anti-codon, and T loops).
Source: RNAcentral